GACGAACGCUGGCGGCGUGCUUAACACAUGCAAGUCGAACGAUGACGACCGAGCUUGCUCGGUCUGAUUAGUGGCGAACGGGUGAGUAACGCGUGAGCAACCUGCCCUUCACUCUGGGAUAACCUCGGGAAAUCGGGGCUAAUACCGGAUAUGAGCUCCUGUCGCAUGGCGGGUGUUGGAAAGUUUUUCGGUGAAGGAUGGGCUCGCGGCCUAUCAGUUUGUUGGUGAGGUAGUGGCUCACCAAGGCGAUGACGGGUAGCCGGCCUGAGAGGGCGACCGGCCACACUGGGACUGAGAAACGGCCCAGACUCCUACGGGAGGCAGCAGUGGGGAAUAUUGCACAAUGGGCGAAAGCCUGAUGCAGCGACGCCGCGUGAGGGAUGACGGCCUUCGGGUUGUAAACCUCUUUCAGCAGGGAAGAAGCGAAAGUGACGGUACCUGCAGAAGAAGCGCCGGCUAACUACGUG
This 467-nucleotide ribosomal RNA is filed under the name uncultured bacterium. RNAcentral describes it as "partial 16S ribosomal RNA". It matches the Rfam family "Bacterial small subunit ribosomal RNA", at positions 28 to 507 of the family's 1533-position model. The record is from RNAcentral.